Molecule: long non-coding RNA, 1212 nt
Filed under: Gadus morhua (Atlantic cod)
Lineage: Eukaryota; Metazoa; Chordata; Actinopteri; Gadiformes; Gadidae
Description: lncRNA (ENSGMOG00000035424.1)
Source: RNAcentral
AUGUGGUCUUUCUGCCAGGUGAAGGCGCCAUUGCACCCUUCUCUCGGACUGGCCGAAGUGGCGUGGAGGAUACUGUGCUCCGGAUGCCUUUUAGCAGGCCUGGGAGGUUGUGCCAUGCUCUUAAAGAAGAGCCUGGGGCGCAGUGGAAAGGCGAUGGGGCUUUGCUCAGAAUCGGUGGCAGAUCAGAAAAACACACAUUUUUCGUGGGUCUCGAAGGAGCCGUCCCUACCAGGCGGAGGAGUCUCCCUGGCCCGGGCCCUUACAGACAGCCUGCUGCUCUGUGUUCUCCAGGAGUCCCUCUCCCACCCCACCCUGCCCCACGUAGAGGCUCUCCUGGCCAGGCUCAAGAGGGUGUCCCGGGCCCUUCAGGGGGCUGAAGGUCUCCCAGCGGCCGGGUCGGACUGUGAGGCCCUCGCGCUGGUAGAGAGAGUGAAGGCCCUCAACACAUACCUGCAUCAGAGGACAAGGACGCUUGGCGGUCUGGUACGGGCGCAGGGGGAGUUUGAGGCGGACGUGGAGGGCCUGCUGGGGGGUCUGGAGCUCCUCUGGACCCAGCUGGAGGAGCUCCACACCAGGGUCACGCUCACCAAGGACUGGAGCCAGGGCCAGGGGGAUCUGGCCAGCACCAAGGCUGAGGCAGAGGUACCCAUCGGGGACCGUGGAACGGGGCGGGAGGGAGGGGCGGGGGGGGAGGUUGAGAUCCCUGUUGAGUUCUGUUUAAAGAUUGUGUUGGUUUAUCACAGGGUCAGACAAGACACAAGACACAAGAUACAAGAUCGUUUAUUGUCAUAUACACAAUGGAAACAUAGUUUACACUGGGCAAUGAAAUUCUUAAUUUGCAAGUUCCCUUCACACAAAAUAUGCUUAAAGUAAAAGUAGAUAAAUAAACUAAACUACUAAAAGAAGGAGAAGAAUUUAGUUAAACAUAAACAGUUGAACAUAAGGUGCUGUUAACUUGUACAAUGUUCGCAUACAGCAGAAGGCCCUGAGAGACAUUGAAAUAUAGACGUUUUGGAAUAUAUAAAUUGGAUGUUGAAUAUUAUUAGUAGAUAAACAUACUGCCAUGGCAACAUACUGCCAUGGCUUUAUUUCACCUUGUACUGAGCUAGCUGAUUCCAUUAGUCCACUUUAACUUGCUAGGAGGUACUGGCCUAACCAGUCCUAAUUAGUCAGAAUUAGUUGAUUGCGUUCCCCUGUUUUCCUCUGUCAGGU